Molecule: ribosomal RNA, 588 nt
Filed under: Salmonella enterica subsp. enterica serovar Berta
Lineage: Bacteria; Pseudomonadati; Pseudomonadota; Gammaproteobacteria; Enterobacterales; Enterobacteriaceae
Also listed under: 1 other name
Description: partial 23S ribosomal RNA
Rfam family: Bacterial large subunit ribosomal RNA
Source: RNAcentral
AGUCAGAGGCGAUGAAGGGCGUGCUAAUCUGCGAUAAGCGCCGGUAAGGUGAUAUGAACCGUUAUAACCGGCGAUACCCGAAUGGGGAAACCCAGUGUGAUUCGUCACACUAUCAUUAACUGAAUCCAUAGGUUAAUGAGGCGAACCGGGGGAACUGAAACAUCUAAGUACCCCGAGGAAAAGAAAUCAACCGAGAUUCCCCCAGUAGCGGCGAGCGAACGGGGAGGAGCCCAGAGCCUGAAUCAGCAUGUGUGUUAGUGGAAGCGUCUGGAAAGGCGCGCGAUACAGGGUGACAGCCCCGUACACAAAAGCGCAUGUGCUGUGAGCUCGAUGAGUAGGGCGGGACACGUGGUAUCCUGUCUGAAUAUGGGGGGACCAUCCUCCAAGGCUAAAUACUCCUGACUGACCGAUAGUGAACCAGUACCGUGAGGGAAAGGCGAAAAGAACCCCGGCGAGGGGAGUGAAAAAGAACCUGAAACCGUGUACGUACAAGCAGUGGGAGCACAGGUUUACCUGUGUGACUGCGUACCUUUUGUAUAAUGGGUCAGCGACUUAUAUUCUGUAGCAAGGUUAACCGAAUAGGGGAGC